CCCCGCCCCCUUUGUGACCUCAUACAAAGGCUUGGCUAAUACUGCAAAGUUUGGGAUCCACAGUCUACAAAACCCCACAUCCCCUGAGAAUUCUCUCGCCUGCCUUAGGCACUUAGGCUCCGGGAGAUUGCAAAUAACCUGCUUUCUUUCUGUUCCCGGGCUGCGUUCGGACUCCUGUCAGAUAGUAAAUCCUAAGUGGCGUCGGACCCCUGUCAGAGAGUAAAUCUCAAGUAAGGUACCUGCCAUCGGCAGAUUUGAGCUUUCUUCUUGGACACCUAAUACCCACAGUCCUCCAGUAAAUCCCAAGUAAGGUACCUGCCCUCGGCAGAUUUGAGCUUUCUUCUUGGACACCUAAUACCCACAGUCCUCCAGGAUAACUUCAGGAAGUGGGUAUUAAUUCUCACGGUAUAAGUGAAGACAUUAAGCACCAGAGUUUAAGUAGCUUGAUCCACUGAAAGAGAUUCAACUGUGUGGAACCUAUGCCGUGGAGAAUUGCUUUCUGCCAUUGUUAUCGUCCAGCAGUUGCCGAAUAGCUCUGACCUGAGCAAAGCAGUGAAACGCGGUGCUGUUGAGUGGGUUGCCACUGCACCUUUUUCAACUACUCUAGUCUUGUGGAGAAAAUACCCCUUCUAAAUUUUUUCUUCAUUGAAUACUCUCCCUCAGCUCCAGAGUACCAUAUAGAGUUUUCUUGUAUUUUAGAGUUACUGUUUUAUCAAAGUUUACCAGUCUUUUGUAUUACAUUUCUCCUGUCUAAAUCGACUGUGUGGUUUCUACUCAUUAUGGAUAUAGAUUGAUACAAACUCAAUAAAUAUUUUUGAAUGAAUAA
Molecule: long non-coding RNA, 826 nt
Filed under: Homo sapiens (human)
Lineage: Eukaryota; Metazoa; Chordata; Mammalia; Primates; Hominidae
Description: HSALNT0373179
Source: RNAcentral